UACGGAGGGUGCAAGCGUUGUCCGGAAUUAUUGGGCGUAAAGAGCUCGUAGGCGGUCUGUUGCGUCGGCUGUGAAAACCCGGGGCUCAACCCCGGGCCUGCAGCCGAUACGGGCAGACUAGAGUUCGGCAGGGGAGACUGGAAUUCCUGGUGUAGCGGUGAAAUGCGCAGAUAUCAGGAGGAACACCGGUGGCGAAGGCGGGUCUCUGGGCCGAUACUGACGCUGAGGAGCGAAAGCCAGGGGAGCAAACGGG
RNAcentral lists this ribosomal RNA (253 nucleotides) under uncultured bacterium. RNAcentral describes it as "partial 16S ribosomal RNA". It matches the Rfam family "Bacterial small subunit ribosomal RNA", at positions 524 to 776 of the family's 1533-position model. The record is from RNAcentral.